RNAcentral lists this long non-coding RNA (587 nucleotides) under Phoenix dactylifera (date palm). RNAcentral's name for it is "long non-coding RNA (PDAC_LNC014157)". Lineage: Eukaryota; Viridiplantae; Streptophyta; Magnoliopsida; Arecales; Arecaceae. The record is from RNAcentral.
GGGUAGAGGACGAAAAGGGCACAAAUGAGGGUAGUGACGGAGAUGAAGGUGGACAUGGUCGACAUCGAGAGGGAGGGAGAGGGAAAGGCAACACCAGUAGUAGCAAACUAGGUGGAGUUCGCAAGUGAAUACAGUAGUUUUUAUUGGGAAUGAAUGCCACAGAGCCGAUCUAGGUAGGGGAGAGUUAGCUCGUCUUACAUUUUUUCUUAUUUUUUUAUAAAAUCACCAAGAUUUUUGGUUGCCUUCAUUGUGCCAUUUGCGAUAAAUCUGGAUGGAAAAUUUUCUGCUCGUCUUUCUGCUGCUUCAUCGAGAGGGCGAAAUAGGGGAGGCAUGAGUAGAGGAUGGCCCUGGUAACAUCCUCACUGGAAACCGUGGGGGGAAGAGGGAGAGGGAGAGAGAUCGAGCUCGGAGCCCGCUUACUAGAGAUGGCGGCGGAGGUGAGAGCUUGGCCAUGAAACAGAGAGGAAAAAGGAACCUUUUUGAAUGUCGAAUACGAUGGCUAGCAGCAACCGAUAGCCACUCAAGGAGGAGGGAUAGGGUUAGGGGUGGCAAUCGGGUCGGGUCAGGCAUAAACAGGUCGGGUCAAA